This 434-nucleotide ribosomal RNA is filed under the name uncultured archaeon. Its description in RNAcentral is "bacterial SSU rRNA". It matches the Rfam family "Archaeal small subunit ribosomal RNA", at positions 19 to 458 of the family's 1478-position model. The record is from RNAcentral.
GGACCUGACUGCUAUCGGAUUGCUACUAAGCCAUGCGAGUCAUUGUAGCAAUACAAGGCAGACGGCUCAGUAACGCGUAGUCAACCUACCCUAUGGACGGGAAUAACCUCGGGAAACUGAGUAUAAUGCCCGAUAGAACAUUAUGCCUGGAAUGGUUUAUGUUCCAAAUGAUUUAUCGCCGUAGGAUGGGACUGCGGCCUAUCAGUUUGUUGGUGAGGUAAUGGCCCACCAAGACUAUUACAGGUACGGGCUCUGAGAGGAGUGGCCCGGAGAUGGGUACUGAGACACGGACCCAGGCCCUAUGGGGCGCAGCAGGCGAGAAAACUUUGCAAUGUGCGAAAGCACGACAAGGUUAAUCCGAGUGGUUUCUGCUAAAGGAACCUUUUGUCAGUCCUAGAAACACUGAUGAAUAAGGGGUGGGCAAGUUCUGGUGU